Molecule: ribosomal RNA, 464 nt
Filed under: uncultured bacterium
Lineage: Bacteria
Description: partial 16S ribosomal RNA
Rfam family: Bacterial small subunit ribosomal RNA
Source: RNAcentral
GACGAACGCUGGCGGCGUGCUUAACACAUGCAAGUCGAACGGAAAGGCUCAGCUUGCUGGGUGCUCGAGUGGCGAACGGGUGAGUAACACGUGGGUGAUCUGCCUCUAACUUCGGGAUAAGCUUGGUAAACUGGGUCUAAUACCGGAUAGGACAAUCGUUUAGUGUCGGUUGUGGAAAGUUUUUUCGGUUAGGGAUGAGCCCGCGGCCUAUCAGCUUGUUGGUGGGGUAAUGGCCUACCAAGGCGUCGACGGGUAGCCGGCCUGAGAGGGUGGACGGCCACAUUGGGACUGAGAUACGGCCCAGACUCCUACGGGAGGCAGCAGUGGGGAAUAUUGCACAAUGGGCGCAAGCCUGAUGCAGCGACGCCGCGUGGGGGAUGACGGCCUUCGGGUUGUAAACCUCUUUCGACAGGGACGAAGCUUUGGUGACGGUACCUGUAGAAGAAGCACCGGCUAACUACGUG